This 467-nucleotide ribosomal RNA is filed under the name uncultured Bacteroidota bacterium. Its description in RNAcentral is "bacterial SSU rRNA". It matches the Rfam family "Bacterial small subunit ribosomal RNA", at positions 423 to 891 of the family's 1533-position model. Lineage: Bacteria; Pseudomonadati; Bacteroidota. The record is from RNAcentral.
UUGUAAACUGCUUUUAUAAGGGAAUAAAGUGAGUCUCGUGAGACUUUUUGCAUGUACCUUAUGAAUAAGGACCGGCUAAUUCCGUGCCAGCAGCCGCGGUAAUACGGAAGGUCCGGGCGUUAUCCGGAUUUAUUGGGUUUAAAGGGAGCGUAGGCCGGAGAUUAAGCGUGUUGUGAAAUGUAGACGCUCAACGUCUGCACUGCAGCGCGAACUGGUUUCCUUGAGUACGCACAAAGUGGGCGGAAUUCGUGGUGUAGCGGUGAAAUGCUUAGAUAUCACGAAGAACUCCGAUUGCGAAGGCAGCUCACUGGAGCGCAACUGACGCUGAAGCUCGAAAGUGCGGGUAUCGAACAGGAUUAGAUACCCUGGUAGUCCGCACGGUAAACGAUGGAUGCCCGCUGUUGGUCUGAAUAGGUCAGCGGCCAAGCGAAAGCAUUAAGCAUCCCACCUGGGGAGUACGCCGGCAA